This is a small nucleolar RNA of Cucurbita maxima (winter squash), 91 nucleotides long. RefSeq annotates it as small nucleolar RNA snoR114. NCBI's taxonomy places the organism in Eukaryota, Viridiplantae, Streptophyta, Magnoliopsida, Cucurbitales, Cucurbitaceae. The transcript has a single exon. The record is from RefSeq and is a predicted model, not a curated record.
GAGCGAUGAAGAAUCCUAGCGUUGACUUGUGAUCCGGGUCGAUCACAACCGUCUGAUCUUUCUGACGAAAUUGUUAGCGCAAUCAGAGCUC